CGGUAAUAGCUCAAAUUUGAAAUCUAACCUUUACGGGUUCGAGUUGUAAUUUGUAGAGGAUGUUUCGGAUAAGGCUUUGAUUUAAGUUUCUUGGAACAGAACGUCAUAGAGGGUGAGAAUCCCGUCUAGAAUCGAUAGCCGCAUCCAUGUGAAACUCCUUCGAC
RNAcentral lists this ribosomal RNA (164 nucleotides) under Capronia sp. Its description in RNAcentral is "partial large subunit ribosomal RNA". It matches the Rfam family "Eukaryotic large subunit ribosomal RNA", at positions 99 to 261 of the family's 3401-position model. The record is from RNAcentral. Lineage: Eukaryota; Fungi; Ascomycota; Eurotiomycetes; Chaetothyriales; Herpotrichiellaceae.